Molecule: long non-coding RNA, 1137 nt
Organism: Gastrolobium bilobum
Lineage: Eukaryota; Viridiplantae; Streptophyta; Magnoliopsida; Fabales; Fabaceae
Exons: 3
Source: RefSeq, a predicted model, not a curated record
UCAGAGAAGAAAGGAAGAAGAAGGAGAAGAAGAAGAAAGGGAGAGAGAGGAAGGAGGAAACCUUGACCGUUUUGAGUGAUUCAAAAGCCUAAAUCGCUUAGAAUCUCACCCUCUUUCAUAAUCUUAGCUUAGUUCUUAGUGGGGAGCUUUGUGUGGUGAGAUAUUGCCCCUCAAAAAUUUGACCCUUUGUGAGAUUUUGGGAUUUUGAGAGCUUCAACCUCCAUUGAAGUUUGAGGAGCCAUCAACCCUUGGUUGUGCAACCAUUGGUGGAUUGAGGCAAUUGGACCAACCUUGAGAGACCAACCAUUAUGGAGCUUGAUUAGCUCCAUUGGAUAGGUAUUGUUUGAGAAGUGGAGUAUUGUAAUUGACUGACUGUAGAAUUCGUGGGUGGUGAACAAAGGUCGAAUUGAAGCUUGAGGUAAGCCUUCGGACCUUGGGUGUAAUUCCCUUGAUUGUUCCACCAAGCCCUGAAAGGGUAGUGGUGAUUAUAGUGUAUAUAAAUGCAAUGAAAUAGUGUAAUGCUUUGUUAUACGUAUGUGUAUGCAUUUGGUGUGGCAUAGUAUGGUGUUUCCCUAUGUGGUAUGUUGCAUGAGGAUGCGUAAAUCAUACUUGGUAGUUAGCUGGCCAGUAGGACUAUUUGCAUAUGAGUUUCCUUAGGACAACUUGAGAGCUCGAGGGAUUUCUCCUGGAGAUGUUAUUGCACUUUGCAUAGAUAUGUAUUUACUGCAUUAUUAUUGUUAUUGCUAUUACACUGAUAUGAAACUGUGGGGUGGAGAGAUGCUCCAAGUGGGUUACUGGAUAUAUUCGUAUAUCUCACCCCGUGUUGUAGGGACCCCCUUUCAGGUAAGGAUGCUGCAGGAGCUUCUGGUGGCAAGUGGCCAUAUCUGGAUUAGCAUAUGCAUGAAGUGUUGCAUUUUUUUAGAUUAUACAUGUUGUUUUGUAGCUCACAUGUAUAGAAUUGUAAUGAUAGGCAGAGAUAGAUUUAUGAUUGGUAUAUUGGAAUGGACUUACCCUAUGCUCAUGCCUUUGGUCAUCUCUUUUGUUGAUGGGAGCCAAGGGAAUGAUCAUAGUGUUCGUAAGCUAAGUUCCAUGAUUUGUAAUGAAUAUGUACUGUAAAUGAUGCCUACUUGAAAUUCA